This is a long non-coding RNA of Brassica oleracea var. oleracea, 1020 nucleotides long. RefSeq lists it as uncharacterized. NCBI's taxonomy places the organism in Eukaryota, Viridiplantae, Streptophyta, Magnoliopsida, Brassicales, Brassicaceae. The transcript has 3 exons. The record is from RefSeq and is a predicted model, not a curated record.
UGUACAUUCUUCCAAAUCUUAUGAAUAUGAUAACAGGGAGAUUGAAAUUUUCGAAAUUUAAGAGGAACAACACAUCCUCUUAAAAUAUUUCUUUUCUCACUUGGUCAACACAUGUUAAGCACUGUAAACAUAUUUCAAACCAUUAAGUUUCAUUUUUAUCCCUUCCGAUGAGAUGUUCUCAAAUGUAUUAACAAAAACGUUUUUUUAGUAGAUUCAGUUGGCUAAAUCGUUGGAAAUAAUGAUCUUAAGGAAGUUAUUGUUUUGAAUGCUCCCUCUAAUUAAUUGAAUCUUCAACUCAAAAACUGUGAGUUAGUUUCCAUGCAAUUUUGAAAUACAUAUAUAAAGCAGUAUGUACUCUCUAUUAAAACAUUAUUUUCUUUCGUAGUGAUUCAAAUACAUACAUAAUUGUGUAUUUUGGGGGCAUAUAUGCUGAAGAGAUACAUUUGCAUGGUCAAUCCUUUUUGGUAGAGUUUGUAGUCUCCUGAAGAUUAAUAUUUAUAAUAAUAUAUAUGGAAAAAAAAACUGAAGGUUUGCUGGUUCAGAUGGAUUUGGAAUUUAAUCCAAUUCUAUAUUUUCUAGGAGAUGUCAUCUUUUUACAAAUAGAAUUAAAUCCAAGGGUUGAGAUUAGCAUACAUUUUAAUCCAAGGGUUGAGAUUAGACUUACCUUUUGUUUGGAUGAAGACGACGCUACCGAAGCUUUGAGUCUGUAGUGAAGCAUUGUGUCCGUUAAUGGAGUUGUGACCCCUGGUUCGCAUCUCUUCCUCUGUAUAUAUUUGAUAGCCAGUUUGCUACUCAUACUUUCUUCAAUGGAUUGUUUUGUUAAAUCAAAUUUUAUCUCUCAUCAUCCAUCAUCCAUGAUCAUUGCAGUUGCCAUCAACAUUCUCGAUCUUUGAAGCUUCGUCUUCGAGGGUAAAUCUUCUGAAAUUUUCGAUGUAUUUUUUGUGUGUUUAAAGUAAUCGCUUUCCUUGUGAAUUUUGUGUUAUUGUGUUUUAUUAAUUGAGAACAAUCAUUCUUUAGUCA